CAGUCGCCGCGGUAAUACGUAGGUGGCAAGCGUUGUCAGGAAUUAUUGGGCGUAAAGGGCUCGCAGGCGGUUUCUUAAGUCUGAUGUGAAAGCCCCCGGCUCAACCGGGGAGGGUCAUUGGAAACUGGGAAACUUGAGUGCAGAAGAGGAGAGUGGAAUUCCACGUGUAGCGGUGAAAUGCGUAGAGAUGUGGAGGAACGCCAGUGGCGAAGGCGACUCUCUGGUCUGUAACUGACGCUGAGGAGCGAAAGCGUGGGGAGCGAACAGGAUUAGAUACCCCGGUAGUCCCUGUCUCUUAUAC
Molecule: ribosomal RNA, 301 nt
Filed under: uncultured bacterium
Lineage: Bacteria
Description: partial 16S ribosomal RNA
Rfam family: Bacterial small subunit ribosomal RNA
Source: RNAcentral